UACAGAGGGGGCAAGCGUUGUUCGGAAUUACUGGGCGUAAAGGGCUCGUAGGCGGCCAACUAAGUCAGACGUGAAAUCCCUCGGCUUAACCGGGGAACUGCAUCUGAUACGGGAUCGCUUGAGGAUCGGAGAGGCAAGGGGAAUUCCACGUGUAGCGGUGAAAUGCGUAGAGAUGUGGAGGAACACCUGUGGCGAAGGCGCCUUGCUGGCCGAUUUCUGACGCUGAGGCGCGAAAGCGUGGGGAGCAAACAGG
Molecule: ribosomal RNA, 253 nt
Filed under: uncultured bacterium
Lineage: Bacteria
Description: partial 16S ribosomal RNA
Rfam family: Bacterial small subunit ribosomal RNA
Source: RNAcentral